CCAGAAAGGGACGGCUAANUACGUGCCAGCAGCCGCGGUAAUACGUAGGUCCCGAGCGUUNUCCGGAUUUAUUGGGCGUAAAGGGAGCGCNGGCGGUUUAGUAAGUCUGAAGUUAAAGNCAUUGGCUCAACCAAUGUAUGCUUUGGAAACUGUUAGACUNGAGUGCAGAAGGGGAGAGUGGAAUUCCAUGUGUAGCGGUGAAAUGCGUGGAUAUAUGGAGGAACACCGGUGGCGAAAGCGGCUCUCUGGUCUGUCACUGACGCCGAGGCUCGAAAGCGUGGGUAGCGAACAGGAUUAGAUACCCUGGUAGUCCACGCCGUAAACGCUGAGUGCUAGGUGUUAGGUCCUUUCCGGGACUUAGUGCCGACGCUAACGCAUUAAGCACUCCGCCUGGGGAGUACGACCGCAAGGUUGAAACUCAAAGGAAUUGACGGGGGCCCGCACAAGCGGUGGAGCAUGUGGUUUAAUUCGAAGCAACGCGAAAAACCUUACCAGGUCUUGACAUCCCGAUGCCCGCUCUAGAGAUAGAGUUUUUCUUCGGAACAUCGGAGACAGGUGGUGCAUGGUUGUCGUCAGCUCGUGUCGUGAGAUGUUGGGUUAAGUCCCGCAACGAGCGCAACCCUUAUUGUUAGUUGCCAUCAUUAAGUUGGGCACUCUAGCGAGACUGCCGGUAAUAAACCGGAGGAAGGUGGGGAUGACGUCAAUCAUCAUGCCCCUUAUGACCUGGGCUACACACGUGCUACAAUGGUUGGUACAACGAGUCGCAAGCCGGUGACGGCAAGCUAAUCUCUGAAAGCCAAUCUCAGUUCGGAUUGUAGGCUGCAACUCGCCUACAUGAAGUCGGAAUCGCUAGUAAUCGCGGAUCAGCACGCCGCGGUGAAUACGUUCCCGGGCCUUGUACACACCGCCCGUCACACCACGAGAGUUUGUAACACCCAAAGUCGGUGAGGUAACCAUUUAUGGGGCCAGCCGC
Molecule: ribosomal RNA, 973 nt
Filed under: uncultured bacterium
Lineage: Bacteria
Description: bacterial SSU rRNA
Rfam family: Bacterial small subunit ribosomal RNA
Source: RNAcentral